This 277-nucleotide unclassified non-coding RNA is filed under the name Hevea brasiliensis (rubber tree). The record is from RNAcentral. Lineage: Eukaryota; Viridiplantae; Streptophyta; Magnoliopsida; Malpighiales; Euphorbiaceae.
GUUAAAUGAAAAAAUAAAAAACUAGAAUAUUAUUGUCUUACAAAUAUUAUAAGAUGAAAGAAAUAUAAAGGUUUUGAGUUUAAAUUUUUUAAUUUACUUAUUUUAAGAUAAUUCAUUUUUAUAGUGAAAAAGAUAGAUAACUACCUCCCGUUGUAAAGCACAUCAGUUAUUAUUCAAUCCAUAUAUUAAACCUUGCUAGUGCUACAAUUAGACAUAAUAUAAAAUAUUGAGUUUAUGGACAAAUUUCACCAUUAUUAUAUUUCAUAUCAUUUGAUUA